Molecule: ribosomal RNA, 638 nt
Filed under: Aspergillus bridgeri
Lineage: Eukaryota; Fungi; Ascomycota; Eurotiomycetes; Eurotiales; Aspergillaceae
Also listed under: 3 other names
Description: eukaryotic LSU rRNA
Rfam family: Eukaryotic large subunit ribosomal RNA
Source: RNAcentral
GGUUGACCUCGGAUCAGGUAGGGAUACCCGCUGAACUUAAGCAUAUCAAUAAGCGGAGGAAAAGAAACCAACCGGGAUUGCCUCAGUAACGGCGAGUGAAGCGGCAAGAGCUCAAAUUUGAAAUCUGGCCCCCUCGGGGUCCGAGUUGUAAUUUGCAGAGGAUGCUUCGGGUGCGGCCCCCGUCUAAGUGCCCUGGAACGGGCCGUCAUAGAGGGUGAGAAUCCCGUCUGGGACGGGGUGUCCGCGUCCGUGUGAAGCUCCUUCGACGAGUCGAGUUGUUUGGGAAUGCAGCUCUAAAUGGGUGGUAAAUUUCAUCUAAAGCUAAAUACUGGCCGGAGACCGAUAGCGCACAAGUAGAGUGAUCGAAAGAUGAAAAGCACUUUGAAAAGAGAGUUAAAAAGCACGUGAAAUUGUUGAAAGGGAAGCGCUUGCGACCAGACUCGCCCGCGGGGUUCAGCCGGCAUUCGUGCCGGUGUACUUCCCCGCGGGCGGGCCAGCGUCGGUUUGGGCGGCCGGUCAAAGGCCCCCGGAAUGUAGUGCCCCUACGGGGGCACCUUAUAGCCGGGGGUGCAAUGCGGCCAGCCUGGACCGAGGAACGCGCUUCGGCACGGACGCUGGCAUAAUGGUUGCAAACGACC